Molecule: transfer RNA, 78 nt
Filed under: Phaner electromontis
Lineage: Eukaryota; Metazoa; Chordata; Mammalia; Primates; Cheirogaleidae
Description: tRNA-Tyr
Rfam family: tRNA (bases 14-78)
About the family: Transfer RNA (tRNA) molecules are approximately 80 nucleotides in length. Their secondary structure includes four short double-helical elements and three loops (D, anti-codon, and T loops).
Source: RNAcentral
AACAUGAGUAAAGGGUAAAAUGGCUGAGUUAGGCAUUAGACUGUAAAUCUAAGAACAGAGGUUUAGCCUCUUUUUACC